AACAAACGCUGGCGGCGUGCCUAACACAUGCAAGUCGUACGAGAAAGUCGGCUUCGGCCGAUGAGUACAGUGGCGCACGGGUGAGUAGCGCGUGGGUAAUCUGCCCCCCGGUCAGGAAUAACCCGCCGAAAGGCGGGCUAAUACCCGAUAACACUGACGCUCCGCGGAGCGUCUUUCAAAGAAGGCCUCUGUUUACAAGCUUUCGCCGGAGGAUGAGCCCGCGUACCAUUAGGUAGUUGGUAGGGUAAUGGCCUACCAAGCCGACGAUCCUUAGCUGGUCUGAGAGGAUGAUCAGCCACACUGGGACUGAGACACGGCCCAGACUCCUACGGGAGGCAGCAGUGGGGAAUAUUGGACAAUGGGCGAAAGCCUGAUCCAGCAAUGCCGCGUGAGUGAUGAAGGCCUUAGGGUUGUAAAGCUCUUUUGUCCGGGAAGAUAAAUGACUGUACCGGAAGAAUAAAGCCCCGGUAACUUCGUG
Molecule: ribosomal RNA, 478 nt
Filed under: uncultured bacterium
Lineage: Bacteria
Description: bacterial SSU rRNA
Rfam family: Bacterial small subunit ribosomal RNA
Source: RNAcentral